RNA transcript from Homo sapiens (human), 6481 nucleotides. It is a transcript of the gene named nucleoside-triphosphatase, cancer-related, with no coding region annotated. NCBI's taxonomy places the organism in Eukaryota, Metazoa, Chordata, Mammalia, Primates, Hominidae. The transcript is spliced from 5 exons. The record is from RefSeq and is marked reviewed.
GGGCUCCGGCCUCUGAAGUUCCCAAUUUAAAUGGCGGGCUUGGUAGUCUGAAGAGUUUGUACUCCUUCCCGGAAAACGUGAUUUAAAAGACACAGGGCCUAAAGGAUUAGAACACACUUGUGAGGGGGUCCUAGACUGGCUUCUUGAUGAAGGGCAGAAACCGCAGGGGCCAGCGGCAGCGGUAACUCCUACUGUAGUGUUGACGUUGUGGUCUGCACAAAUGGUAUUUCAAGAGAUCUGCGGCAACCGCGAUGUGAAGUGGAGAUGUCUAAUUUCUGUUGAUAGUCACAGGAGUUGGAAAAACAACAUUGAUCCAUAAAGCCAGUGAGGUUUUAAAAUCCUCUGGUGUGCCUGUUGAUGGAUUUUAUACCGAAGAAGUCAGACAGGGAGGGAGAAGAAUAGGAUUCGAUGUCGUCACGUUGUCCGGCACCCGGGGGCCUUUAUCGAGAGUUGGGUUAGAGCCUCCACCUGGAAAACGUGAAUGCCGAGUUGGGCAGUAUGUGGUCGACCUGACUUCUUUUGAGCAGUUGGCACUACCCGUCUUGAGGAAUGCCGACUGCAGCAGUGGCCCAGGGCAAAGAGUGUGCGUCAUCGAUGAGAUUGGGAAGAUGGAGCUCUUCAGUCAGCUUUUCAUUCAAGCUGUUCGUCAGACGCUGUCUACCCCAGGGACUAUAAUCCUUGGCACAAUCCCAGUUCCUAAAGGAAAGCCACUGGCUCUUGUAGAAGAAAUCAGAAACAGAAAGGAUGUGAAGGUGUUUAAUGUCACCAAGGAAAACAGAAACCACCUUCUGCCAGAUAUCGUGACGUGCGUGCAGAGCAGCAGGAAGUGAAGACACGUGCAUUCCUGCCUUCCGUGAAGGAGUGCCCAGUUCAAGAGGAGCCUGAUGGAGCCCUGCCUGUCGAGGCUGUAUGCCUAUGGGGUUAUGGAACCUUGUGGGCUUUUCUAGAGAAAACUCAACAGCUGUUUCCCAUAAAAUGUUUAAAAGAUCAAAUUAGCCUUAAUGCUGGAUUGUCUGUACAAGAUUAACUAUCCAUUGUGGCUUAUCUAUGCUUAAAGAUUUCUUGUUUAUUUCCUCUUGCAGUCAUGCACAUGAUUUGGGUAAACUGUGAGAUGAGAAAUGGUUUUCAGAGUAUUAGAUGGAAUUCACCCCCGUUGAAGUUUAUAAAUGUGUUCAGGGGAAGCGGGAGGAAAGAGUUCACUGCCUAAUCAGUUUUGCAUGUCAUGAAAAUUAAAUUCCUCUCCAGGUGCAGCUUCAGCCUCAUGCAACUUAAAGUGAUAACAGUUAUUUGAUUUUUUAAAAAAUAUUAUUCCAAAAGAAAACCAUUUUAGGUCAUCUCCCCCAACUCUGUUUGCUUACUGCUUAAUAAAUAUAAAAAUAAAUCUGAUGGUUACAGACAGGAGGCAUUGUGUGGGAGGAAUACACAACCUUUGGAAGUGUUGAUAGCAUCUGAUAUUCAGCCGACCAGAUGACAAGAGCUCAGGCCCACGGGUUUGCAUAAGAGCACUGCUUUGCCUUAGUUUACUCGGGAGCAAUUUUGAAUCUUUCUAUGCCUAGUUUCCCUUCCAGAAAAGCAGGAAGUGGCUGUCAUCUCAGGAGUGAUGUCACACCACAGAAGGAAACUGUCAACCACUCCACACAACUGUGGAGAGUGCCCAGUGCCAGGGGCUGGGCUUAUCAGGAAUAAUGGUGUAGCAAUGCGGAGUUCAGCCCAUAACAGGGGUACUAUAAAAAUGAAGUAGGAAAGUAGAAGAGACCCCUGAAACCCCAGAACUGAUAGAGGAUAAAAACUUCCCUCCAAGUGGUAGAUGGUACUGGAGUGAUAAACAGUUCAGUGUUUUUAGGUCAUUUUUGGUGAAGAUCUAUGAAUUUCCAGGAUUUUUUUUUAACAAAUUAGCAUUGGCUACAAACCCACUGGUAUAAGCAGCAGUGUGCCUUCUCUCUAACUGUGGACAAGUCGGGCAUGUGGCGGGUGAGGAGCCCUGGGCUGGGCACUGGGGCACAGUGAAUGGGGCGGGAGGGGCUCACAUCAAAACCAAAAUGGCACGCAGCCCAGGUCUGGUUCCUCCAUCAGUGUCUCUUUCCUCAGCGCUUUUCUUCCGAGGUAACUUUGUGAAGCUUGACUUGGACUUGCCUAGCCUUGGAGGGACCACAACAGGGAGGCCUAAUAGAUUAUGAACUAAGCCCUCAAAAGGGCUACCUGCCCAGGAGGAGGAAGUGGGCAUCUCCUUCCACAGUCCCUGCCUGGCGGGGCUGUUCAGGGAGACUGAGUUCCGAGCUCAGGAUGUCUGGCAGGCUGGCUGUGACUUCCAGCCACCAUCACCAGGACACCGGUGUGGGCUGCAUGCCUCAGUGGGCCAGGAGAGGCACGGCCUCUGAGUUGGGUAGAGGCUUCCCACAAAGGCCUGGGAACCUGAUCCUGGCCGUAAAUCUGAAAGUACCACAGCCCUCAGGAGAACCAAGAGAUAGGGAGGCAGGCUGGGGAAAUGUCAUCAAUGUGCACCCAGGCGUGGUGGAGCUGGUCAGCCCCAGCUGGAGUGGGACCCCAUCAAGAUGGAGCCUUUCCUGGCACCUCCGGGAGGCCGUUUUGCGUUUCCGCCCUUCAUGCAUCUGAAACACCAAGGGCCAUGUUCCUUCUGGUGCUUGUCCUUUUGAGCUUGGUGUUUCAGCCGUGUCUGUUUUGUAGACUUUGAUUUUGUCUUAAAUGAGAAAGAAAGCUGGUGAAGGUUAUUUCAAAGUUAAAUAGCUAGUCUGAGGGGCUUAUCACUGAAGCCAGUUGUGCUUAUGUGGGGUGGGAGUGUCACUGCCUACUUGAAAGUAUGCACUUGUGUGGAACAGAUUCAGGGUGGCCCCUAGCACUUGGGGCUGCGGGAGCUUCUGCACACUUUCCCUUUAACGGUAAAGAGACAAGCUUGGAGUGUUUAAGUGGUUCGUUCAGGAGCACAGUGAUAGCGGUGACAAAGGAGAUUUGAACCCACGUCUGCGUGGCUCCAAAGUUCACUCUUUCAUCACUCCCUGCUGCGUCCUUCUUGAGGCUUUAGCAUUUUUAGUGUGUUUUGUGCCCCCAGACCUCAGAGUUGACAUUUAGCAGUGAUAAACUGCUGUAAAUCCAAAGAACGUUUAGUGUCUCUUGUGGUGAGGUCCUGAAAUGAUUGUUGUAUUAGUCAAACAGAAUGAUCAUGGAGCAUGUAUGGAGAUGUCAGAUGCAAUCCCUGUAUUGUAAGGCAAUGACAUUUAAUGAAGGAUAAGAUGAAUUCACAGAUAACUAGAACUCAGGGCCAAACGCACACAGCCUGUAGCAACAGUGUCAUGCUGAGAUUUAAAGGAAGAAGAGGUGCCGUGGCAGAACUCCACGUGACCGUCCCCUCCCUGCACGCAGCCAGGAUGAGAGGAGCAGAGCUGAGCGCCACCUCCCUGUCGGUGCCACGGCUGAGGUGAGGAGCUCUUGCCGGAUGGUGGGGUGGGGGCAGCAGGGCAGAUUGAAGUCAGGGAUUCUCUUAUACCUGAGUUUGGAAUGCCUCCUAUUCAAACAAAGCAAAAUAUCUAACAGAUGGUUGGAUAUGAGUCUCAGGGAGGAAUUCAAUUUGAAAAGCACAGAAUUAACAUGUAUUGCUUAUAUGAAGAAUCUCAGCUAGAAUAACAAGGUCGGAUGGGAGGAAUCAGGACUGAUUUGAAGCACGAUUUACUAAAUCAUUCUUUCCUUUUCCUCCUUAGCAGAUCAUACCGCCAGCUGCUUAACACGUAAUAGUUUAAUAAAUUGUUUCUUCUUACCUCUCAGUGAGGGUAAGCACAUGCAGGGAGAUGGGUGAGUCUUUUAAAUGGAUAGUGUCAUCUCUGAUGAUCAGCCUUGACAGGGAGAGAUCCUAGUAAAGCUGCAAAUUCAGGCACUCAGUUCCCAGCCCUCCAGUUAUCAAGGGGGUGGGAACGCUGGUGGGCUGGAAAAUGUGGAACAGACCUGCUCCUCUUCUUUUCCUGCCAAUUACCGUAUUCAUAGAAGGUUGUGUCUGUGGAUCACACCUGUGUGUGUGCUGAUGGCGGAUGCUUGUGUAGCAUAGUGACUUGGGACAAAACAGCAUGGUAGAUGAGGCUGGAGACGGGUGGGCUAAGUAAACAGGCAUUGCAUUGCACAUUUUGUGGGCAAAGAAGUUGAAGCAUCGCAUGAUUUUAACAAAUUACUUGCCAGAUGAUUUCAACACACUGCAAAAUUUAGAAUCAAUAAUGCCAAAUUGGCCACAUGAUUUAUAUAAAACCAAGUGCUAUGGUUUUAAUAUUAUCUUUAGAGGAGAAACCAUUUUGAUCUGUGUCCAAAUAACUCUUUUUUUUUUUUUUUUUUUUGAGACAGAGUCUCACUCUGUCGCUUGAGCUGGAGUGCAGUGGUGCUAUCUCGGCUCACUGUAACCUCCGCCUCCUGGGUUCAAGCGAUUCUCCUGCCUCAACCUCCUGAGUAGCUGGGAUUACAGGCACCCGCCACCACGCCCAGCUAAUUUUUUGUAUUUUUAGUAGAGACGGGGUUUCACCAUGUUGGCCAAGCUGGUCUCGAACUCCUGACCUCAUGAUUUGCCUGCCUCAGCCUACAAAAGUGCUGGGAUUACAGGCGUGAGCCACCGUGCCCAGCCCCCAAAUAACUCUUGAACUGGAAAAUAACUCUUUAGCUAUAUACUGGCAGAAUAUUUGAACAACUCUAGCAAGAAAUGUCAGUUUAGGGAUGCCUCCUCUAAAUGGGGGCUUAGAAUAUAACAUUUUGCAGGAAGUCCUUUCUGAUACAUAGCUGACUAGAUGAAGGACCAGAUUAACAAGUUCAUGAGUUGUAAAUAUAAAAGUUGUGUACCACGAUAAAAAAGAAAAAGAAGUAUGGCUGCACUGUUGAUGGCUGGUCAAACAGCCCCCAAGAAUCCUGGGGUGACUCCAAUACUGCCACCUUUUCUCUGUGGGUGCAGUUGCCUGCGGAUGUGUGUGCACAUCUGUGCCUCGGUAUGCACACUCGAGAUGCCCGCUCUCAUAGACGGUGCAGAGCGUCACUGCAUUCCUAUCUGAUUAAUGUGACCUUAGUGUUGUAGAUACACUGUGUCACUUUCAUCCUCCCUCCUCCCCACAAAAGAUGCCACGAGAACUCGUGAACUGUGAUAAGCAAUGAACAGAAUAACUGUUGAAGAAGCACCUCAUGAACCUCCCCAGAGAAACGGGAUGGAGGAGCACCCAGGGUGCUCUUGCUCUCUUGCCUGCGCUGCCAUUUCCUUCCAGCCUGGGUUUCUAGCUCUUUGGGGAGAUUCCCCGUUUUGUGGAAUGCUUUCUGUGUUUCCUACUUCUGGAUGCCUAAGGAGUGGCCAGUCAUACUCCUGGCUGACCACUGCCAGGCACCGUGGUUUUCCUCACUGAACUCAAGGAGUCACCCUCCGUGGGGAGGCCACACUCACAGCUCCAGGCCUGCCAUUUAGCCCUUGGGGCUUGGCUGUAAAGUUGCCCAAGAGGAUUACAGGAGCUGCCAGCCAAGUUUAAUUUGGCCACCUUAGAGAACUGCAGCAAGGCCCUAUCAGCUUCCCAUUAGACAAACAACUGCAUUUAAAUUAAAUAAAGUUUGCACCUCUAGGGAGUGCUGACCUGAAAAUAAGAACCUUCUGUCUGUGAUUAUAGAGUACACUUGCUUUUAUUAAUUGCUGAUUCUUAGUUUACAAAAAAAAAAAUUAGAAAAGCAUUACCAUUUACUUUCCAAGGGGCAAGAGAUUCUCUACAAUACCCUUCCCCCAACCCUCUCCUCAAAUUUCCAAAUCCUAAAUACUUUGAAGAAAUUUGUGUGACUGUUUAAAAUUGAGUAUUUCCUUCUAACUAUUGUCUUUUGAAAAGGGAUGGUUCACCAGGCCAGUGAUACUCUAUGGACUGCAUUUUGGGACCUCUACCCCAGCAAGGAUACAGGUUCCUGGGGUCUUGAAGAUGGGAAAAGUUGUCUCAGAAUUUACCCAAAUGUCGUUCUCACCAUAAAAGAUAUACUUGUAGAAAUGAGAAGCUUCAGUAUAACUCAAAACACUGGACGCAGCAAUAACUAUAAACAUUUUAAUUUCAAAAACAAAGGUGUGUGCGAUGUUGUGUGCACAGUAAGGGUUGCGGGGCUUGGAGAACAAGCACGCGUCCCUGUGAAGCCCGCAGGGUGCUGGCGGCCCACCAAUCGCCUGGACUACAGUGAGGAGCAUUGUGUGACUCCGCGGUGGAUUUCCAUGCACCGAAUGGACUCAGUUUCUAAACUCACAUCCUAACGUAUCCUGGCUUUUCACAGAAUACUGGAGACAUGACUGCAUGCAUGAUCACGGUUCUUGUUGUGAAGCUGCCACCAUGUUACGCUUAACAGCUGCAUAAAUAUUAUAAAGAAAUAGGGUUUUCUUGACACUUAGAUUUAACCUUAAUGCAUCUGCCCAGCUGAUGGUAUCAGACGUGCUGCUGUUCAUUUCUUUUUCAUGGUAACAGUAAUGUAUAAAGUGCCGAUGAUGUAA